UUGUGUUCCCACCUCCCCCCCCAAACUCCCAUAUAUAUGGUCUUUUUGCUCUGCCCACAGGGACUGCUGGACUGGUGAGUGCAUUUGUCUUCAAGAGUGGGCGGCCAGCAUUCUGCUGGCAUACAGAGAUAUUUAUUCCUUUAUGAAACUGCACACGAAGAGAGAUCCAUGAGGCUGUAUCAUUCUUCUUUGAUACCAUGCAGACCACAGCAGCAUGCUGCUUCAACCAAGCUGGGACCAGCCAGGUCUGUGAAGGCUCCGCAGCAGCAGAUACAAGAAUGCUGUAUGUAAAAACAGUUGCUUCAGAAAUCAAGCAAAUGGAACUUCCAAAGUCGUGCUACAAAGGAAUUGUGAAAAGUGAUUUGAAAUAUGGGAGCUACUACUUGGACAAAUGGAGGCCAUACUUCAGAUGUGUUACACUACUGACAGAUGAGUGGAGAGUGCAGAAUGCCCGUUCUAUUACUAGCUUCACAGCAGAAUUUUCUAUUCUUGCCAUAGCUAAAAACAUUUGUAUCCAUGUGAAGCCAUCCGUGCUGGAGACAGGGAACCUGGAAUGCUACAACUUUGUCUAUGGCUUGAAUAGAGUAAUUCAGUCAGGUGAUAAAGAGUUUUAUGUUUCAUUCAUCUUAUCUUUGGUAAUUCCAUGUGUUAUUUCAAAAUUAAGUUUUAACUGCACUGAAAAUGGAGAUAAAUGGAAGAGUUUGUGCAGAACGUAAGCUCAUUUUAGCUUAAAUUCUCACCUUUUUAUUUUUUGAGGAAUCAUAACUUGAAGAGUCUUUUGAGUUCAUUAAAUGCAUUUUCCUCUAGUUCAUCUCAGUUCUUUAUUUCUUAAGGAAGAAGUAGUUCUGGAAGACUUCUCACUACUCAGAAAGUCAGUCAUUGUAGAAUAAAGAUUUUUUUUAUUCUACA
RNAcentral lists this long non-coding RNA (909 nucleotides) under Numida meleagris (helmeted guineafowl). Its description in RNAcentral is "lncRNA (ENSNMEG00000004729.1)". The record is from RNAcentral. Lineage: Eukaryota; Metazoa; Chordata; Aves; Galliformes; Numididae.